GAAGUUCCCUACUCAGAAAUGUGCCAGUCACUUAGAUUACAUGUCACUGGGUCCUUUCUGGGUAGAGUAAGUAA
Molecule: microRNA precursor, 74 nt
Organism: Gorilla gorilla gorilla (western lowland gorilla)
Lineage: Eukaryota; Metazoa; Chordata; Mammalia; Primates; Hominidae
Source: Rfam